This is a long non-coding RNA of Pygocentrus nattereri (red-bellied piranha), 1236 nucleotides long. RefSeq lists it as uncharacterized. The record is from RefSeq and is a predicted model, not a curated record. NCBI's taxonomy places the organism in Eukaryota, Metazoa, Chordata, Actinopteri, Characiformes, Serrasalmidae. The transcript is spliced from 2 exons.
ACGAUGCCGGAAAAUUAUUUCUAGUCUGCAUUUUCUGUAAGAGCUGUUUGUUCAAGUAUGAUAAUACACAUCAAAAAACAGCACAGCACUAAUCAGGCGCCCAUCCACUCCGCCCCCUACCCUCCUGUCAUUUGCUCCCAAACACAGGCGCUUGAGAACGCGCCCCAUAGGGAACGCGUCAAGGCGUGUUUUUUUUUUGUUUGUUUUUUUCCCUGUCGUGGCGCAAGCACCUGCAGGGUGUUCAGGAUGGAGGGGCAGAAAAAAAAGCUCUCCGGGGCACAAAACAGAAAACGGAAGAGGGAGAGAGAAAAAGAUGUUGUAGGGAUGAAGAAAAGCUUCUCAAAGUGGUUGAAAGACAGCAGCCUGAUGAGCUAAAAGUUGUGCGGAGGUUGCUCUGCUGCAGAUCAUGAGCCAGCCACCCAUCUGCAAAACCAUCAUCCAGCUUAUCGAGUGGUUUGAUGAGCCUGAGUGCUACAUCUUGAUCCUGGAGCACCCUAACCCUUGCAAGAGCUUGGACAGUUUUCUUCAGGACUAUGGAGGUUACGUCACUGAAGACUAUAUAAUGUGGCAGUCAGUGGUGGCAGUGUUUCAGACCUAAAACAGGAGAACUUGCUGAUCAACCUGGACACCUUGGCAGUCAAGCUGAUUGACUUUGGCUGUGGUGAUUUGAUCAAGGAAUCUGGUUAUAACAUGUUUGAAGUUAAAAUGAUAUCUGUUCAUUUUUAGUACAUAAAUUAAUGUUUUUGCUUAGCUCUGCUUAUUUCUCUCCUUCUUUCAUGUUCUCAGGCACAAUUGAACACUGCCCUCCUGAGUUUCUGAAGAAUUUGCAGUAAUGCAGUAUUUACAGGCUUAAUGUUCUGCAGCAUAUACUGCAGCAAGAUUGGUUACAAUGUGAUGUGCCAACCUAGGAUCAGGUUAUCCAGGGAAGAGAGAAAAUGACCACUAACAGAAGAAGCAGAAUAGUUUAAUUUGUUUUGAUAAGGCAGACAAAUGAGACUAUGUGAUGUGUACAUGCUUAAUUUUAAUGAAAAUUAAGAAGAGCUCCAGAAGUGCUUCUCUAUCUAAUGCAUGUCUUUUGGUUUAUGUUCCAGGUCAUUUUUAGAGGAGGGCAGUUAAGGGCACAUCAUAGUUCAGUCCACCACAUUUUUCAGAACACAGGAGACUAACUAUCAGGAAAUGAACACUGAAGCAUUGCAGUUCUUGUCAUUGUGUUUUACUUAAAAAACCUUGCUAACA